CUUAUUAGUAGUAUUUGAUUGCAUUCAAUUUUUCUAAACAAUUAAUUAAUUAAUUAAUAAAUACUCCCUUCAAAAUAUUUUGUCUCACUAUAAACGGCAACGCAACACCGAUUGGAGUUGGGAGGAGUAGAUCGCGAACACAUCACACAUGGCGCGUGGACGGAGGAUCAGUUUCUUUAACGUCAAAGUAAAAUAAUCAGAUGGUGGGGAUUGUG
RNAcentral lists this long non-coding RNA (215 nucleotides) under Panax ginseng (ginseng). RNAcentral's name for it is "long non-coding RNA (PGIN_LNC018378)". Lineage: Eukaryota; Viridiplantae; Streptophyta; Magnoliopsida; Apiales; Araliaceae. The record is from RNAcentral.